RNAcentral lists this ribosomal RNA (744 nucleotides) under uncultured bacterium. Its description in RNAcentral is "bacterial SSU rRNA". It matches the Rfam family "Bacterial small subunit ribosomal RNA", at positions 8 to 796 of the family's 1533-position model. The record is from RNAcentral.
AGAGUUUGAUCAUGGCUCAGAGCGAACGCUGGCGGCAGGCCUAACACAUGCAAGUCGAGCGGCCGUAGCAAUACGGCAGCGGCAGACGGGAGAGUAACACGUGGGAACGUGCCCUUUGGUUCGGAACAGCACAGGGAAACUUGUGCUAAUACCGGAUAAGCCCUUACGGGGAAAGAUUUAUCGCCAAAGGAUCGGCCCGCGUCUGAUUAGCUAGUUGGUGGGGUAACGGCCCACCAAGGCGACGAUCAGUAGCUGGUCUGAGAGGAUGAUCAGCCUCACUGGGACUGAGACACGGCCCAGACUCCUACGGGAGGCAGCAGUGGGGAAUAUUGGACAAUGGGCGAAAGCCUGAUCCAGCCAUGCCGCGUGGAUGAUGAAGGCCCUAGGGUUGUAAAGUCCUUUCGGCGGGGAAGAUAAUGACGGUACCCGCAGAAGAAGCCCCGGCUAACUUCGUGCCAGCAGCCGCGGUAAUACGAAGGGGGCUAGCGUUGCUCGGAAUCACUGGGCGUAAAGCGCACGUAGGCGGCUUUCUAAGUCAGGGGUGAAAUCCUGGAGCUCAACUCCAGAACUGCCUUUGAUACUGGAGAGCUAGAGUCCGGAAGAGGUGAGUGGAACUGCGAGUGUAGAGGUGAAAUUCGUAGAUAUUCGCAAGAACACCAGUGGCGAAGGCGGCUCACUGGUCCGGUACUGACGCUGAGGUGCGAAAGCGUGGGGAGCAAACAGGAUUAGAUACCCUAGUAGUCC